This 304-nucleotide unclassified non-coding RNA is filed under the name uncultured Periconia. RNAcentral's name for it is "sequence contains ITS1". The stretch from base 1 to 105 matches the Rfam family "5.8S ribosomal RNA", at positions 50 to 154 of the family's 154-position model. Lineage: Eukaryota; Fungi; Ascomycota; Sordariomycetes; Microascales; Halosphaeriaceae. The record is from RNAcentral.
GAAAUGCGAUAAGUAGUGUGAAUUGCAGAAUUCAGUGAAUCAUCGAAUCUUUGAACGCACAUUGCGCCCCUCGGUAUUCCGUGGGGCAUGCCUGUUCGAGCGUCAUUUACACCCUCAAGCUCUGCUUGGUGUUGGGCGUUUGUCCCGCCUCUCGCGCGUGGACUCGCUUCAAAGUCAUUGGCAGCGGCCUCGCCGGCUUCUCGCGCAGCACAUUUGCGCUUCUUGCAGCCCUGGCGUAUCCGCGUCCAGCAAGCUCUUUUUGCGACUUGACCUCGGAUCAGGUAGGGAUACCCGCUGAACUUAA